Molecule: signal recognition particle RNA, 97 nt
Filed under: Enterococcus faecalis
Lineage: Bacteria; Bacillati; Bacillota; Bacilli; Lactobacillales; Enterococcaceae
Also listed under: 17 other names
Description: signal recognition particle sRNA small type
Rfam family: Bacterial small signal recognition particle RNA
About the family: The signal recognition particle (SRP) is a universally conserved ribonucleoprotein involved in the co-translational targeting of proteins to membranes.
Source: RNAcentral
AAAGGCUAGGACAAUGGCGGGCUAGUGAAUUGUGUCAGAUCCGGAAGGAAGCAGCACUAAGCAAGUGCCGCCAUGUGUCUGAAUUAUAGUUGAUAUC